GCCGCAAUUUUGAAAAAUCUCGGAAAAUUCCCUUUUUUAAAUCGAUGUUUGACCGAAUUUGCCCUGAAAUUAAACUGUUUUAAGUAGUAUUCUUCGCCAGCUAUAUGUUUGAAUAUACUUAAUCGAUUUGCAAAGUUUGUGUUUUAUUUACAGAAUUUCUUUAUUUGAUGUAAAAGUAGACAUGGGUAUCGGUAAUUUAGCAUUGAGUCAACGGAGAAAUGACGAGAAAAAGUGCAUGUUUUACGAUUCCGAUUUGACCGAAUUUAAUCAAAAAUUAAACUGUUAGGACCAACAUUGUUUGAUAGAAAUGUGUUUGAAUAUCAAGGAUUGAUUUGCAAAAGUAAGAAAACGGAUCAGGUUUAUGAGAAAAUUAAACUUUAUUGAAG
This 386-nucleotide long non-coding RNA is filed under the name Mytilus galloprovincialis (Mediterranean mussel). The record is from RNAcentral. Lineage: Eukaryota; Metazoa; Mollusca; Bivalvia; Mytilida; Mytilidae.